Molecule: ribosomal RNA, 253 nt
Filed under: uncultured bacterium
Lineage: Bacteria
Description: partial 16S ribosomal RNA
Rfam family: Bacterial small subunit ribosomal RNA
Source: RNAcentral
UACAGAGGUCCCAAGCGUUGUUCGGAUUCACUGGGCGUAAAGGGUGCGUAGGUGGUGAGGUAAGUCGGAUGUGAAAUCUCCAGGCUCAACCUGGAAAUGGCAUCGGAAACUACCUCGCUGGAGGUUUGGAGAGGGGACUGGAAUUCUCGGUGUAGCAGUGAAAUGCGUAGAGAUGCGGAGGAACACCGAUGGCGAAGGCAGCCCCCUGGGCUAACACUGACGCUCAGGCACGAAAGCGUGGGGAGCAAACAGG